CAUCCUAGCAUCCUUGGCGAUCACUGAAGAAGCAGAACACGGUUCUGAACUAUCUCGUUCUGGACAAACUCUCUCUGCUCCUGUUUCUUGUUAAGGUUCCCUGGACAGCACAAGGGUACCAACACACAGGCUGGAAAGUGUGAUGGUGGGAGAUGCUUCUGCUAGCCAAAGAUAGCUAGAAAUUGCUAUCAAACUACUAGAAAUUGGGAGAAAAGCCAGGAACAGACUCAGCCUUCAGAAAAAAGGAAUGCUGCCAGCACCUUUAUCCUGAACCGCCAGCUUCAAGAACCGUGAGAUAAUACAUUUCCAACAUUUUAAACUACCAAUUUGUGGUACUUUGUGAAGGCAGCCCUGGGAACCUAAUGCAUGGAACAAAUUGUUCUGUCUUCCCAAUCCAUCCUCUUUCCACCCUCCCUCCCCAACUUCCAAAGAAGCAGCCAUGUUGAACAACAUGUCGCCCUCCCCUGGUUAGAGUUCACUGGCACCCAACAUCUGAGAGCAAAGAGCAAGCCUCUGAUGACUUCAACUGAAAACAUAAAUCACAGGAACUGGCAACAACCGCGUUCCCACCCAGAAGAAAAGCAGCCAGCCACAAGGCAAAGCAAGCGCCCGGAGAUGCAGACUCCAGUCUGGGAGACAGAGAGCUAGCUGGUUAUUUUCCAGCCCUGGGCUCCAUCUGUGCCUGAGACCUCAGCUGCAUCUGAACUUGGCUCUGACUUUGAAUUCCAGGAAGCUGUAAUGACCAUCCAAUAAAUUCAUCUUUUUGCUAAACCUGAUUCUUAUUAGGUUUUUGAGACUUACAAGUCAGACUUCUACUUGAUGGAGUCUCUGAAAUGUAUGCCCUCUGCUUUUUCACGUGAGUGGAAGGCUGCUUGCUACUCUGUAAGCAGCUGGGCCUUUACACCCGCAGGGACGCAGAACCCGGAAAAGAAUACUGUUGAGAGUAAAUGGGUGAGCA
This is a long non-coding RNA of Peromyscus eremicus (cactus mouse), 958 nucleotides long. RefSeq lists it as uncharacterized. The record is from RefSeq and is a predicted model, not a curated record. NCBI's taxonomy places the organism in Eukaryota, Metazoa, Chordata, Mammalia, Rodentia, Cricetidae. The transcript is spliced from 2 exons.